CGGUCAGAUCAGAGGGCGAAACGAAGUGCUUGGCGAAGAAGAAGAGAGCCGCUGGGAUCGUCGCGUUGAAUGCGAUGUCCCAGAGCAAGGACGUGAUCAUCGAUCGAGGUGCAGCGUUCGUCAUAGACGAGAGCUGGGUCGGUACGAUCGGCAGAUUCCUUCGGCUGGGGCCCUCAGGGAUCGUCCUGAGGGAGGGCGCAGCCUGGCGACUCCGC
Molecule: unclassified non-coding RNA, 215 nt
Filed under: soil metagenome
Description: partial internal transcribed spacer 1
Source: RNAcentral